Molecule: long non-coding RNA, 1575 nt
Filed under: Triticum aestivum (bread wheat)
Lineage: Eukaryota; Viridiplantae; Streptophyta; Magnoliopsida; Poales; Poaceae
Description: long non-coding RNA (TAES_LNC013716)
Source: RNAcentral
UCGCGCCAGAGCAGGCGGUGAUGCAGAAGGACGGCGACCCAGACGAUAUGCAGGGGUUGCUCGCGGUGCUGGCCUAAUCGGCGAAUGAGGUUGCCGCGGCUGCGGCGCAAGAGGUCGCGGAGGCGGCGCUGGCUGCGACAAAGGCGGUUGUGGCGGAGGAGGACGCCGGUGUGGACUGGGGUAACCUAGAGAAUGCCAGCGACGACGGCGGCGGCGAUGACGACGGCGGCAUGGUGCAGGUCCUCGACCUUGCCACCAGCGACGAGUAGUGGUAGUUUAGGUUUUUUUAAUGUUUAAUUUCCAAUUUCGUUCAAAUCGUUGUAAAAAAAUCCUAAAUAUGAUUGGAAUUUGAAACCUUUUUUAUUCUUCAAAUGUUGUUUUGAAUAUUUGAAAACCCCGACGGCGACCGAGGACAAGUUGCGCCGCCACCCCGACGGCCGGUGGAACAUCAGGAACUGGUGGCGGUGCUGGGAGGCCAAGUGCUUCGACAAUGUCAUCAUUGUGUACCAGCAGGCGGAAAGAGGCUUGAACCCCUUCCUUGCCGACGACGCCGCCGGAGCGGGCUCCUCCCGCGGCCGCACCCGUGCCCCCGUUGCCGCCCCCGCGCCCGCCCCGCCCCUGCCCCGACGGAUGUUCCAAUCGCGCCAGAGCAGGCGGUGAUGCAGCAGGACGGCUACCCAGACGAUAUGCAGGGGUUGCUCGCGGUGCUGGCCUAAUCGGCGAAUGAGGUUGCCGCGGCUGCGGCGCAAGAGGUCACGGAGGCGGCGCUGGCUGCGACAAAGGCGGUUGUGGCGGAGGAGGACGCCGGUGUAGACUGGGGUAACCUAGAGAAUGCCAGCGACGACGGCGGCGACGAUGACGACGGCGGCAUGGUGCAGGUCCUCGACCUCGCCGCGAGUGACGAGUAGUGGUAGUUUAGGUUUUUUUAAUGUUUAAUUUCCAAUUUUGUUCAAAUCGUUGUAAAAAAAUCCUAAAUAUGAUUGGAAUUUGAAACCUUUUUUCAUUCUUGAAAUGUUGUUUUGAAUAUUUGAAAACCCUCGUGAAGGCUUACAAAGUAACACUGUGCGAUGAAGCUAAAAAGAUUUAAAAUAAAAAGGCUUGAACCCCUUCCUUGCCGACGACGCCGCCGGAGCGGGCUCCUCCCGUGGCCGCACCCGUGCCCCCGUUGCCGCCCCCGCGCCCGCCCCGCCCCUGCCCCGACGGAUGUUCCAAUCGCGCCAGAGCAGGCGGUGAUGCAGCAGGACGGCGACCCAGACGAUAUGCAGGGGUUGCUCGCGGUGCUGGCCUAAUCGGCGAAUGAGGUUGCCGCGGCUGCGGCGCAACAGGUCACGGAGGCGGCGCUGGCUGCGACAAAGGCGGUUGUGGCGGAGGAGGACGCCGGUGUGGACUGGGGUAACCUAUAGAAUGCCAGCGACGACGGCCGCGGCGAUGACGACGGCGGCAUGGUGCAGGUCCUCGACCUCGCCGCGAGUGACGAGUAGUGGUAGUUUAGGUUUUUUUAAUGUUUAAUUUCCAAUUUCGUUCAAAUCGUUGUAAAAAAAAUCUUAAAUAUGAUUGGAAUUUGAAACCUUUUUU